This 850-nucleotide ribosomal RNA is filed under the name uncultured bacterium. Its description in RNAcentral is "bacterial SSU rRNA". It matches the Rfam family "Bacterial small subunit ribosomal RNA", at positions 59 to 890 of the family's 1533-position model. The record is from RNAcentral.
AAGUCGAACGCACAGCGAAAGGUGCUUGCACCUUUCAAGUGAGUGGCGAACGGCUGAGUAACACGUGGACAACCUGCCUCAAGGCUGGGGAUAACAUUUGGAAACAGAUGCUAAUACCGAAUAAAACUUAGUGUCGCAUGACACAAAGUUAAAAGGCGCUUCGGCGUCACCUAGAGAUGGAUCCGCGGUGCAUUAGUUAGUUGGUGGGGUAAAGGCCUACCAAGACAAUGAUGCAUAGCCGAGUUGAGAGACUGAUCGGCCACAUUGGGACUGAGACACGGCCCAAACUCCUACGGGAGGCUGCAGUAGGGAAUCUUCCACAAUGGGCGAAAGCCUGAUGGAGCAACGCCGCGUGUGUGAUGAAGGCUUUCGGGUCGUAAAGCACUGUUGUAUGGGAAGAACAGCUAGAAUAGGAAAUGAUUUUAGUUUGACGGUACCAUACCAGAAAGGGACGGCUAAAUACGUGCCAGCAGCCGCGGUAAUACGUAUGUCCCGAGCGUUAUCCGGAUUUAUUGGGCGUAAAGCGAGCGCAGACGGUUUAUUAAGUCUGAUGUGAAAGCCCGGAGCUCAACUCCGGAAUGGCAUUGGAAACUGGUUAACUUGAGUGCAGUAGAGGUAAGUGGAACUCCAUGUGUAGCGGUGGAAUGCGUAGAUAUAUGGAAGAACACCAGUGGCGAAGGCGGCUUACUGGACUGCAACUGACGUUGAGGCUCGAAAGUGUGGGUAGCAAACAGGAUUAGAUACCCUGGUAGUCCACACCGUAAACGAUGAACACUAGGUGUUAGGAGGUUUCCGCCUCUUAGUGCCGAAGCUAACGCAUUAAGUGUUCCGCCUGGGGAGUACGACCGCA